GAUCAUGGCUCAGGAUGAACGCUAGCUACAGGCUUAACACAUGCAAGUCGAGGGGAAACGACAUCGAAAGCUUGCUUUUGAUGGGCGUCGACCGGCGCACGGGUGAGUAACGCGUAUCCAACCUGCCCACCACUUGGGGAUAACCUUGCGAAAGUAAGACUAAUACCCAAUGAUAUCCCACGAAGGCAUCCGAAUGGGAUUAAAGAUUUAUCGGUGAUGGAUGGGGAUGCGUCUGAUUAGCUUGUUGGCGGGGUAACGGCCCACCAAGGCAACGAUCAGUAGGGGUUCUGAGAGGAAGGUCCCCCACAUUGGAACUGAGACACGGUCCAAACUCCUACGGGAGGCAGCAGUGAGGAAUAUUGGUCAAUGGGCGAGAGCCUGAACCAGCCAAGUAGCGUGCAGGAUGACGGCCCUAUGGGUUGUAAACUGCUUUUAUAAGGGAAUAAAGUGGGUCUCGUGAGACUUUUUGCAUGUACCUUAUGAAUAAGGACCGGCUAAUUCCGUG
RNAcentral lists this ribosomal RNA (505 nucleotides) under uncultured bacterium. RNAcentral describes it as "bacterial SSU rRNA". It matches the Rfam family "Bacterial small subunit ribosomal RNA", at positions 15 to 507 of the family's 1533-position model. The record is from RNAcentral.